GCUGGGGCUUAUGGCUGUUCUGGGAGGACUAGCAUCUCUGCUAGGGCUCCCCAUCUCCUUUUGGUUUCCCCCGGGGCAUUUGACUCUCACCUGUAGCUCCAAGAAGCCAUAGUCUGCUCAGGGAACACAAUCCAGUCAAACUGUCUCAGCAGACAGGCUAGACCAGGUUGAGGGUAACCAAUGGACCUCCAAACUCUAAGGAAACUGAGGCUGAGAGAGGUUAAGUGAGUUGUCCAGGCUCACAUAGCCAUAAGGUUUAUGAAUGCUUCUCACACAGACUGGCUUCUGGCAUUUAGCAGUAAAUACAGCGAGCUCCUCAACAUUCUCAAGAAGAGAGGAGGAGUAUAUGGGGCCUGACGGAUCCACUUCAGACAACACAAGCCUGAAAGAAAACCCAGCAACCUCCCUGCCUCCACCACCCUGGUUCCCUCCCAUUGUGUGGUGAUAUUUUUUGCUUAAAGAGCUGAGUGUUGCCUUGGCAAAAUCAGCCUUGCCUCCUAGGCCCGAGCCCCUUGGACUUCCAAAGGAGGAGGAGAAAAAGUGGUUGAUGUUUUUCACCUGAGGCUCGUGCUGGAGAAGUGACAGAGAAGAAACACUCCCUUCAAAUCUGGAACAACCUUCGCUGCCCAGAGGUGGAAAUAUCACUUCUGUCCAUCUUGUGAUCCUAUUGCCAGAAUGGGCUGUUGUUAAUAAAGAUGGCUGAGAAACCUGGACA
RNAcentral lists this long non-coding RNA (715 nucleotides) under Monodelphis domestica (gray short-tailed opossum). Its description in RNAcentral is "lncRNA (ENSMODG00000032934.2)". Lineage: Eukaryota; Metazoa; Chordata; Mammalia; Didelphimorphia; Didelphidae. The record is from RNAcentral.